CCUACGGGCGGCUGCAGUGGGGAAUAUUGGACAAUGGGGGGAACCCUGAUCCAGCCAUGCCGCGUGUGUGAAGAAGGCCCUCGGGUUGUAAAGCACUUUCAGUGAGGAAGAACGCCUGGUGGUUAAUACCCAUCAGGAAAGACAUCACUCACAGAAGAAGCACCGGCUAACUCCGUGCCAGCAGCCGCGGUAAUACGGAGGGUGCGAGCGUUAAUCGGAAUUACUGGGCGUAAAGCGCGCGUAGGUGGCUUGAUAAGCCGGUUGUGAAAGCCCCGGGCUCAACCUGGGAACGGCAUCCGGAACUGUCAAGCUAGAGUGCAGGAGAGGAAGGUAGAAUUCCCGGUGUAGCGGUGAAAUGCGUAGAGGUCGGGAGGAAUACCAGUGGCGAAGGCGGCCUUCUGGACUGACACUGACACUGAGGUGCGAAAGCGUGGGUAGCAAACAGGAUUAGAUACCCCGGUAGUC
This 465-nucleotide ribosomal RNA is filed under the name Vreelandella stevensii. RNAcentral's name for it is "partial 16S ribosomal RNA". It matches the Rfam family "Bacterial small subunit ribosomal RNA", at positions 338 to 795 of the family's 1533-position model. The record is from RNAcentral. Lineage: Bacteria; Pseudomonadati; Pseudomonadota; Gammaproteobacteria; Oceanospirillales; Halomonadaceae.